Brettanomyces nanus is the source of this 73-nucleotide non-coding RNA. The record is from the annotation of a RefSeq genome assembly. NCBI's taxonomy places the organism in Eukaryota, Fungi, Ascomycota, Pichiomycetes, Pichiales, Pichiaceae.
GGGCGUGUGGCGUAGUUGGUAGCGCGUUCGCUUAGCAUGCGAAAGGUCCUGGGUUCAAUUCCCAGCUCGUCCA